Molecule: ribosomal RNA, 253 nt
Filed under: uncultured bacterium
Lineage: Bacteria
Description: partial 16S ribosomal RNA
Rfam family: Bacterial small subunit ribosomal RNA
Source: RNAcentral
UACAGAGGUGGCAAGCGUUGUUCGGAUUUACUGGGCGUAAAGGGUGCGUAGGCGGCCCUGUGUGUCAGGUGUGAAAUCCCACGGCUCACCCGUGGAAAUGCACUUGAAACUGCAGGGAUCGAGUUCAGGAGAGGUAAGUGGAAUUCUUGGUGUAGCAGUGAAAUGCGUAGAUAUCAAGAGGAACACCGGUGGCGAAGGCGGCUUACUGGACUGAUACUGACGCUGAGGCACGAAAGCCAGGGGAGCAAAAAGG